CGAAAGCCUGACGGAGCAAGACCGCGUGGGGGAGGAAGGCUCUAGGGUUGUAAACCCCUUUUCUUUGGGAAGAACAAAAUGACGGUACCAAAGGAAUCAGCCUCGGCUAACUCCGUGCCAGCAGCCGCGGUAAUACGGAGGAGGCAAGCGUUAUCCGGAAUCAUUGGGCGUGAAGCGUCCGCAGGUGGCAGUUCAAGUCUGCUGUUAAAGACAGAAGCUCAACUUCUGGUCAGCAGUGGAAACUGGACAGCUAGAGUACGGUAGGGGUUGAGGGAAUUCCCAGUGUAGCGGUGAAAUGCGUAGAGAUUGGGAAGAACACCAGUGGCGAAGGCGCUCAACUGGGCCGUAACUGACACUCAGGGACGAAAGCUAGGGUAGCG
This 380-nucleotide ribosomal RNA is filed under the name uncultured cyanobacterium. RNAcentral's name for it is "bacterial SSU rRNA". It matches the Rfam family "Bacterial small subunit ribosomal RNA", at positions 376 to 770 of the family's 1533-position model. The record is from RNAcentral. Lineage: Bacteria; Bacillati; Cyanobacteriota.